Molecule: long non-coding RNA, 3428 nt
Organism: Felis catus (domestic cat)
Lineage: Eukaryota; Metazoa; Chordata; Mammalia; Carnivora; Felidae
Exons: 5
Source: RefSeq, a predicted model, not a curated record
CCCACACUGCUCUCAAGGCCUGCCACCCAGCAGGGUUUCCAUAAUUUUUUUUCCCUUACACUAUCUGGGGGAGGGGGGGACGGGGGAGGCGAUAAGUGGGUGACUUUAUGUUCUAGGCCUGUGGCCCCCGGGACGGGCUAAAAGGAAAGACUGGGGGAUCCUGCCUGCCUGAGUGCUGCCUGUUUGGGACUGAACUUUCCAGUGAUCAGAUGGAGCGAGUAGGUCCACUUCUGAAAGCUGUCAGGGUCAUUCAAAGGACUAGGGAGGAAAUGGCGUCAAGGCCCAUUGCAGACUUGAUGAAACCAUCGGACGGUGGCAAAUGGUAUUGUUAGUAGACCGUGUGUCUCUGGUGGUUGUGGGCAAAGCGCUGGAAUUAGAUCCCGGAUUUGGACCCCAGCUUCCUGAUAUGCUGGCUGGGAGACUUUGGGCAAACCUCAAGCCUGAAAAGGACUGCUGGUGCUGGGUUGCAAGCGGCCGGGUGCAAGGACAAGAGAGAGGCACGGAGGAACUAAGGGUGGCCCCCAGCUGGCAGCCAGCAGGGAAGCAGGGACCUCAGUCCUACAACACGAAAGAACUGGAUUCUGCCCACACGGUGAAUGAGCUUGGAAGUAGUUCCUUCCUAGGGCCUCCUGUUUCACCAGGACAACCAGACCCACCUGAUGAGACUUCUUCGAUGCACUGGGCCAAUUUGGAAAAGAAUCAGAAUGCCUUCUGUUGAGCUGAUCAAAGGAACACCAAGGAUUGCCAACAGUCACCAGAAGCCGGAUGGGACAAGGAAAGAUUCUCUCCUUGAGACUUCAGAGGGAGCAUGGCCCUGCCGACACCUUCAUUUCUGAUUUCUAUCCUCUUGAACUUUUCAGGUGUACAAAAUAGUGAUUCAACAAUUGUGUACAUUACUCAGGUGGCCAUCACGCUUUACCCCAGUAUGGAAACCGCAGCCCUUGAUCAGCUGAGUGCCGCUAGGAACCAUCGCCAAGAGGCUGCAGGAAAGCCCAGGGCUUGGGGGAGUCUAGUCGCAGCUGGUGGUAAAGAAAUGUCUUCCAAGGGGCAAAGAAUAAUAUGGGCGAGUUUGGGAAUAAUGGAUAACAAUGGAACGGAGGGUUCUGUGAAUCAUGGGGUUUGAGGAAGGAGGGAUGGGGUAUAAACAGGAGAAAGGAACCACAGAGAAUUAUGGGGAUCAGGAAAGGAGAAAACAGAACUGACCAGGGGAAGCCCUAGCUUUUUCAGAGCAGCACUAAAGCCAGCUCUGGAUGGAUUUAUUUAUCUGGCCAGUGUCAACCAGGUAACAGCUCUGCGUUUAUCUUUGGAAGAUGGUGGAAACUCAGACCGCUCCAUAGUUAUCUGCUCCCUGGAAGGGGGAGGGUUCCAGGACCAGGGACUUGGAUUUGGGGCUUUUUCACCUUGGAGUUGUUUGAGAGCAGGGCAAAGUGAACAGCUACAAAUGAAUGAGUGAGAAAGAAGAUUGUUGUUUGGACAAUGAAUGCCCUGAGCAAGUGGGAGGGAUGUGAUGACAAACGGGGAUAUAAGCCUAGAAAGAAGGAAGGACGACCCUUCCAUCAAAACACGGGAGAGGAAGAGCUGUCGGUUAGCGUAGGUCACGUCAUCUUGACAACCCCCGAACCUCAGCGCUUGGAACAAUACGGGUCUCCUCCUUUGUGCUACAUGUUCAUCAUCGGUUGGCAGGGGAUCUACUCUUGUUGAAGGAACAUAGGCUGAUGAUCCACCACCAUCUUGGAUGCUGCUCUUCCCUGUACCACAGACAGAACCCUGGGGGGGUCUCUUGUUGGAGGUUCAGGCUUGGAUUAGAGAUGUGCCGCUUUCCUCACAGCUCAUUGACCAGGGGGUCACGUCAGCUGAUGAAACAGCUGGAUGCAGAAGCCUCUGCGGGACCUAGUGGUCUUCCCAGCCUGAUUCUUACCAAGUGUGAGACCAGCGGAUUGUGAACAGUUUGCAUACUUUACCUCCAUUUCUUUCUUUCUUUCAAGUAGGCUUCGCACCGUCCAGCAUGGAGCCCAACGCAGGGCUUGAACUCAUGAGCCUGAGAUCAUUAUCUCCGCUGAGAUCAAGAGUCCGAUGCUUAACUGACUGAGCCACCCAGGGGCCCCUACUUUGCCUCUAUUUCUCAUCAGAGCUUCUGUUACAUACCACUUUGUCUGUCUCCUCUCCAAUGCCUCUCCAGACCACCAUGCUCCCGUAGCCCCCACGUUUCUUUCUGUGAUAGCAUUUUGAUAUAAAAGGACACUUGUAGGGGCACCUAGGUGGCUCAGUAGGUUAAGUGUCCGAUUUCGACUCAAGUCAUAAUCUCAUGGUUUGUGAGUUUGAGCCCCGCGUCAGACUCAGUGCUGACAGCUCAGAGCCUGGAGCCUGUUUCAGAUUGUUGUCCCCUCUCUCUCUGCUCCUCCCCCGUUUGUGCACUUUCUCUCUCAAAAAUAAACAUUAAAAAAAUAAAAGGACAUUUGUCACACCUGAAGUACCCGAACAGAGAUAGGUCCCGGCUUCAGGGAGGCUGUGCAAUGUAGAGAACCUGGCCAACAACCCCAGGGGUCCUUCCUGCACAGCUGUCCGUGACCGGAGUUCUGAAGGACAGCCGGGAAAAGGACAGAGAGCCUGGGGCUUGUAAAGGACAUACAGACCUACAAUAAAAAAUGCCGGCAACCUUGGCUGUACUCAAUGAUGUGAUUGUACAGUCUCAUAAGACUGCCUCUCAGAAUGGCUCCUUAGAACAUUCUUUGCUUACAAAAUGCAAGAGACUCAAUUACUCCUCCAACCGCUAGCAAUCCGGGACAGACUUCAGGAGCUGGGGACUCUGGAAUUAGUGGUUGCUUACGAAGAGGAAGUAAGCAGCUACUGAAAGUAAUCUAGGACUAAAGUUUGCAAACCUCUAAGAAUCGUCUGAUUACUUCACAAUUCGUAGGACGGUAAACAACGAACACCAUGUAGCUGCUGAAGAAUGCGCGUCUAGAUGUUUAGACAGGCUAAGAUUUUCCAACCAGAGCUUUAGGUGGAGAAAACACACAAAGGACACUUGCAGGUUAUACAGUGUACUACCACCUAUGUAAAAACAAAAACUCAAAAAACCCCCAAGGGUGGGGAGAAUUAUGUAUAUGCUCAAACAUGCAUAAUUUGGAAAGGUACACAAGACGCUGGUAAACCGUUGCCUUCCUCGGGAAGAUGGGGAGAAUGGGUCCACUUUUUUUAUCGUUUGAGUUUUGUGCCAUUGUACUACUCGUUUUAAAAUUAACCAAACGCAACGUGGCACCCGGAGACAGGAAAAGAGGCGUUACUGGAAACUGGUAAAAUCAGAAAAGUCUGGAAUCUAGUUAGUACCAAUAUUAGUUUCCUAGUUUUCGCAGAUUGUUUUGGUGGUUGUUGCUCCUCGGUUCAUAAUUCCAUCCUACCCACUUCUAUUAAAACCUAUAUAGAAAAUC